Long non-coding RNA from Paramacrobiotus metropolitanus, 620 nucleotides. RefSeq lists it as uncharacterized. The transcript is spliced from 3 exons. The record is from RefSeq and is a predicted model, not a curated record. Lineage: Eukaryota; Metazoa; Tardigrada; Eutardigrada; Parachela; Macrobiotidae.
CGGCACCUCAACUGUGUUGAUAUCGCUUACAGUAUGUAUACUGUGCCGCCAACAUAUCUGUACUAUUAUACCUCACGACACGGACGGACCAUUUCCAUACCCACCCGCGCUAACUGCAACCAACGUUGUGCGUACUUACGCUGUUCCCGUUAAAUAUUGCACAUACUGCACAUAUCUGGAGCAUACGUAACGCUCGGGCUGCUCCAGUUUGUUCUACUUGGACUACGUUACGCAAUUAACCUGCUUAUCGCUGAUUAUCAGCCAACGCCAUCUUCCAUCCAAAUAACGCUUUUCCUCAUUACGGAGACGUUCCGUCGAAGCCUUGUUAACGUAGUUACCCAUUACCAACCGAACAUUUAUCCCAUUCCAAUCUGUCUAACGGUAAGCGAUCAUAUCCCCAUUAAGCCCGAUUCAGCAGCCGCGAUCUUUACACUGGUGUAGCGCGACAUGAAGUAGUCAGCUGGUUGGAAGCCGAGACUAAGGAUCUUCUCUUCUUAUGCUAAGGAAGAGCUAAAGGAACCAGUGACUUUAAAGCAUAUUUCCGGCGCCCCGGCUCUAACCUCCAGCACCUCGCUCUCUCCAUCGAUUUUGCGGAUUACUUCCGGUGGCUGGCAGCGGAC